Mycena olivaceomarginata is the source of this 94-nucleotide non-coding RNA. The record is from the annotation of a GenBank genome assembly. Lineage: Eukaryota; Fungi; Basidiomycota; Agaricomycetes; Agaricales; Mycenaceae.
UCCCUCUUAGCUCAGUUGGUAGAGCGCGUCACUAGUAUAAGUACUGAUUGAAGAAUAUAUGACGAGGUCAGUCGUUCAAAUCGGCUAGCGGGAA